ACACUCCUACGGGAGGCAGCAGUGGGGAAUUUUGGACAAUGGGCGAAAGCCUGAUCCAGCAAUGCCGCGUGAGUGAAGAAGGCCUUCGGGUUGUAAAGCUCUUUUGUCAGGGAAGAAACGGUGAGAGCUAAUAUCUUUUGCUAAUGACGGUACCUGAAGAAUAAGCACCGGCUAACUACGUGCCAGCAGCCGCGGUAAUACGUAGGGUGCAAGCGUUAAUCGGAAUUACUGGGCGUAAAGCGUGCGCAGGCGGUUUUGUAAGUCUGAUGUGAAAUCCCCGGGCUCAACCUGGGAAUUGCAUUGGAGACUGCAAGGCUAGAAUCUGGCAGAGGGGGGUAGAAUUCCACGUGUAGCAGUGAAAUGCGUAGAUAUGUGGAGGAACACCGAUGGCGAAGGCAGCCCCCUGGGUCAAGAUUGACGCUCAUGCACGAAAGCGUGGGGAGCAAACAGGAUUAGAUACCCCUGUAGUCCCAUG
RNAcentral lists this ribosomal RNA (475 nucleotides) under uncultured organism. RNAcentral's name for it is "partial 16S ribosomal RNA". It matches the Rfam family "Bacterial small subunit ribosomal RNA", at positions 333 to 799 of the family's 1533-position model. The record is from RNAcentral.